GGCGCUGGCUCUAUCAAACCGGGGCGGCGUCGUAACCAUGAAAGAGAGUUUGAAAUGGCAUUCACCACUGAAGUCAAAGCCGGCAUCGUUGCCGAAUUCCAGCGCGCCCAA
This is a regulatory RNA element of Dechloromonas denitrificans, 111 nucleotides long. It matches the Rfam family "Ribosomal S15 leader". Rfam says of the family: The E. coli Ribosomal S15 gene 5' UTR can form two alternative structures. One that is a series of three hairpins, The other includes a pseudoknot. The record is from Rfam. NCBI's taxonomy places the organism in Bacteria, Pseudomonadati, Pseudomonadota, Betaproteobacteria, Rhodocyclales, Azonexaceae.